RNAcentral lists this ribosomal RNA (591 nucleotides) under Lodderomyces parapsilosis. Its description in RNAcentral is "eukaryotic LSU rRNA". It matches the Rfam family "Eukaryotic large subunit ribosomal RNA", at positions 51 to 658 of the family's 3401-position model. Lineage: Eukaryota; Fungi; Ascomycota; Pichiomycetes; Serinales; Debaryomycetaceae. The record is from RNAcentral.
CGGAGGAAAAGAAACCAACAGGGAUUGCCUUAGUAGCGGCGAGUGAAGCGGCAAAAGCUCAAAUUUGAAAUCUGGCACUUUCAGUGUCCGAGUUGUAAUUUGAAGAAGGUAUCUUUGGGUCUGGCUCUUGUCUAUGUUUCUUGGAACAGAACGUCACAGAGGGUGAGAAUCCCGUGCGAUGAGAUGUCCCAGACCUAUGUAAAGUUCCUUCGAAGAGUCGAGUUGUUUGGGAAUGCAGCUCUAAGUGGGUGGUAAAUUCCAUCUAAAGCUAAAUAUUGGCGAGAGACCGAUAGCGAACAAGUACAGUGAUGGAAAGAUGAAAAGAACUUUGAAAAGAGAGUGAAAAAGUACGUGAAAUUGUUGAAAGGGAAGGGCUUGAGAUCAGACUUGGUAUUUUGUAUGUUACUCUCUCGGGGGUGGCCUCUACAGUUUACCGGGCCAGCAUCAGUUUGAGCGGUAGGAUAAGUGCAAAGAAAUGUGGCACUGCUUCGGUAGUGUGUUAUAGUCUUUGUCGAUACUGCCAGCUUAGACUGAGGACUGCGGCUUCGGCCUAGGAUGUUGGCAUAAUGAUCUUAAGUCGCCCGUCUUGAC